GCUCAACCGAGGAAGUGCUUCGAAAACUGGUAAACUUGAGUGCAGAAGAGGAAAGUGGAACUCCAUGUGUAGCGGUGGAAUGCGUAGAUAUAUGGAAGAACACCAGUGGCGAAGGCGGCUUUCUGGUCUGUAACUGACGCUGAGAUUCGAAAGCAUGGGUAGCAAACAGGAUUAGAUACCCUGGUAGUCCAUGCCGUAAACGAUGAGUGCUAAGUGUUGGAGGGUUUCCGCCCUUCAGUGCUGCAGCUAACGCAUUAAGCACUCCGCCUGGGGAGUACGACCGCAAGGUUGAAACUCAAAGGAAUUGACGGGGGCCCGCACAAGCGGUGGAGCAUGUGGUUUAAUUCGAAGCAACGCGAAGAACCUUACCAGGUCUUGACAUACCAUGAAAAGCUUAGAGAUAAGUCUUUCCCUUCGGGGACAUGGAUACAGGUGGUGCAUGGUUGUCGUCAGCUCGUGUCGUGAGAUGUUGGGUUAAGUCCCGCAACGAGCGCAACCCUUAUCAGUUGCCAGCAUUCAGUUGGGCACUCUGGUGAGACUGCCGGUGACAAACCGGAGGAAGGUGGGGACGACGUCAAAUCAUCAUGCCCCUUAUGACCUGGGCUACACACGUGCUACAAUGGUCGGUACAACG
Molecule: ribosomal RNA, 634 nt
Filed under: uncultured bacterium
Lineage: Bacteria
Description: bacterial SSU rRNA
Rfam family: Bacterial small subunit ribosomal RNA
Source: RNAcentral